This 620-nucleotide ribosomal RNA is filed under the name Halorubrum ezzemoulense. Its description in RNAcentral is "bacterial SSU rRNA". It matches the Rfam family "Archaeal small subunit ribosomal RNA", at positions 54 to 675 of the family's 1478-position model. The record is from RNAcentral. Lineage: Archaea; Methanobacteriati; Methanobacteriota; Halobacteria; Halobacteriales; Haloferacaceae.
CUAGUCGCACGAGUUCAGGCUCGUGGCGAAUAGCUCAGUAACACGUGGCCAAACUACCCUUCGGAACACAAUACCCUCGGGAAACUGAGGCUAAUAGUGUAUAUCGUACCACCACUGGAAUGAGUGGUACGCCAAACGCUCCGGCGCCGAAGGAUGUGGCUGCGGCCGAUUAGGUAGACGGUGGGGUAACGGCCCACCGUGCCAAUAAUCGGUAUGGGUCAUGAGAGUGAGAACCCAGAGACGGAAUCUGAGACAAGAUUCCGGGCCCUACGGGGCGCAGCAGGCGCGAAACCUUUACACUGCACGACAGUGCGAUAGGGGGAUCCCAAGUGCACAGGCAUAGCGCCUGUGCUUUUCGGCACCCUAAGGCGGUGCCAGAAUAAGGGCUGGGCAAGACCGGUGCCAGCCGCCGCGGUAAUACCGGCAGCCCAAGUGAUGGCCGAUCUUAUUGGGCCUAAAGCGUCCGUAGCUGGCCGCGCAAGUCCAUCGGGAAAUCCACCUGCUCAACAGGUGGGCGCCCGGUAGAAACUGCGUGGCUUGGGACCGGAAGGCGCGACGGGUACGUCCGGGGUAGGAGUGAAAUCCCGUAAUCCUGGACGGACCGCCGAUGGCGAAAGCAC